This 460-nucleotide ribosomal RNA is filed under the name uncultured bacterium. Its description in RNAcentral is "partial 16S ribosomal RNA". It matches the Rfam family "Bacterial small subunit ribosomal RNA", at positions 338 to 795 of the family's 1533-position model. The record is from RNAcentral.
CCUACGGGAGGCAGCAGUAGGGAAUAUUGGUCAAUGGACGAGAGUCUGAACCAGCCAAGUAGCGUGAAGGAUGACUGCCCUAUGGGUUGUAAACUUCUUUUAUAUGGGAAUAAAACGUUCCACGUGUGGGAUUUUGUAUGUACCAUAUGAAUAAGGAUCGGCUAACUCCGUGCCAGCAGCCGCGGUAAUACGGAGGAUCCGAGCGUUAUCCGGAUUUAUUGGGUUUAAAGGGAGCGUAGGUGGAUUGUUAAGUCAGUUGUGAAAGUUUGCGGCUCAACCGUAAAAUUGCAGUUGAAACUGGCAGUCUUGAGUACAGUAGAGGUGGGCGGAAUUCGUGGUGUAGCGGUGAAAUGCUUAGAUAUCACGAAGAACUCCGAUUGCGAAGGCAGUUCACUGGACUGCAACUGACACUGAGGCUCGAAAGUGUGGGUAUCAAACAGGAUUAGAUACCCCAGUAGUC